RNAcentral lists this transfer RNA (61 nucleotides) under Seasogonia rosea. RNAcentral's name for it is "tRNA-Cys". Lineage: Eukaryota; Metazoa; Arthropoda; Insecta; Hemiptera; Cicadellidae. The record is from RNAcentral.
AGUCUUAUAGUUUAAUUAAAAACCUUAAAUUGCAAAUUUAAUAAUGAGCUCUCUAAGACUU